RNAcentral lists this ribosomal RNA (460 nucleotides) under uncultured bacterium. RNAcentral describes it as "partial 16S ribosomal RNA". It matches the Rfam family "Bacterial small subunit ribosomal RNA", at positions 338 to 795 of the family's 1533-position model. The record is from RNAcentral.
CCUACGGGAGGCAGCAGUGAGGAAUAUUGGUCAAUGGACGCAAGUCUGAACCAGCCAUGCCGCGUGCAGGAAGACGGCUCUAUGAGUUGUAAACUGCUUUUGUACGAGGGUAAACCCAGAUACGAGUAUCUGUCUGAAAGUAUCGUACGAAUAAGGAUCGGCUAACUCCGUGCCAGCAGCCGCGGUAAUACGGAGGAUUCAAGCGUUAUCCGGAUUUAUUGGGUUUAAAGGGUGCGUAGGCGGUCUGAUAAGUUAGAGGUGAAAUCCCGGGGCUCAACUCCGGAAUUGCCUCUGAUACUGUCAGGCUAGAGAAUAGUUGCGGUAGGCGGAAUGUAUGGUGUAGCGGUGAAAUGCUUAGAGAUCAUACAGAACACCGAUUGCGAAGGCAGCUUACCAAACUACGUCUGACGUUGAGGCACGAAAGCGUGGGGAGCAAACAGGAUUAGAUACCCUUGUAGUC